AUUAAAACAUCCCCAGGACAGGAGGGCGUAUUGGCAAAACGAGAGUACACGUGGAGCGUCUUCUCUCCCCACUCCGUCCGUCUGCCCGUUCCUCGUCGCCGCCCCGCCCCGCCCCUUGGCCCGCCGCAACGGCCAGCGUCCCUUUGAGAGUCCCCCACCAUUAAACUAUUCCCUCUACUCGCCCCCUCUCCUAUAAGCGCCGCCUGUGGGGAGAGGCCAUGACUUCAGCUCUCCGGCAAAAGGCGGCGCAGAUGGCUUCCGCGGCGGCGGCUGCGGCGGCGGGGACGGGGUGCUACUCGCAGACGUCCUGGGCGCUGCGACGCCUUGGCGCCGGAGGCGGCGCCCUCGCAUCGGCGGCCACCCGCAGGAGGAACUGCUCCGUCGCGGCCGCCGUCUUUGACAACCAGAACCGCGAGUACGUGAUCGUGGGCGGCGGGAACGCGGCGGGCUACGCGGCUAGGACGUUCGUCGAGCAUGGCAUGGCCGACGGCCGCCUCUGCAUCGUCUCCAAAGAGGCUGUUCCACCAUACGAGCGACCGGCACUGACCAAAGGCUAUCUGUUUCCCCCAGAAAAAAAGCCGGCACGCCUACCUGGAUUCCAUACCUGUGUUGGAUCUGGUGGCCAGAGGCAGACUGCCGAAUGGUACAAGGAGAAUGGCAUAGAGGUGCUGUAUGAGGAUCCAGUUGAAGCAUUUGAUGGCAAAACACAGACCUUGAAAACUUCAUCAGGGAAAAUUCUGAAGUAUGGGUCACUUAUCAUUUCUACUGGUUGUGCAGCUGCAAGACUACCUGAGAAAAUUGGAGGAGACUUACCUGGAGUUCACUAUAUACGUGAUGUUGCUGAUGCUGAUUCUCUAGUAUCUUCAUUGGGAAAAGCAAAGAAAAUUGUUGUUAUUGGUGGGGGCUAUAUUGGCAUGGAGGUGGCUGCUGCAGCUUGUGGCUGGAAUCUUGACACAACUAUAAUAUUCCCAGAAGAUCACAUAAUGCCAAGAUUGUUUACGCCUUCCCUUGCUAAGAAGUAUGAGGAACUGUAUGAGCAAAAUGGCGUCAAAUUCGUAAAGGGAGCUCUUAUUGACAAACUUGAUGCUGGCUCUGAUGGAAGGGUGUCUUCAGCUAUACUUAAAGAUGGUUCUGUUGUUGAAGCUGAUACAGUUAUUGUUGGUAUAGGAGCAAAACCAUCUGUCAGCCCCUUCGAAGCUGUGGGAGUUAACAUCGAAGUUGGUGGAAUAGAGGUUGAUUCCAUGUUUAGAACAAGUAUACCUAGCAUCUUUGCUAUUGGAGAUGUGGCAGCUUUUCCGCUCAAGAUGUAUGAUAGAAUAGCUCGAGUGGAGCAUGUGGAUCAUGCCAGAAAGUCUGCACAACAUUGUAUAGAAACACUCUUAACAUCCCAGGCAAAAGCGUAUGACUACCUUCCGUAUUUCUAUUCUCGAGUUUUUGAGUAUGAAGGAAGCUCCAGGAAAAUUUGGUGGCAAUUCUACGGAGAUAACGUUGGUGAAACAAUUGAAGUAGGGAACUUUGAUCCUAAGAUUGCUACCUUCUGGAUUGACUCUGAUAGUCGAUUGAAGGGUGUUUUCCUUGAGAGUGGAACCUCAGAGGAAUUCUCGCUUCUUCCAAAGCUCGCGAGAUCACAGCCCAUUGUCGACAAAGCUAAGCUCAAGAGUGCAACUUCAGUUGAAGAUGCAUUAGAGAUUGCGAGAAGCUCUCUUUAGUCUGGCUCUUCUGUUUAACUAGUUGUCAACACAUAUGGCCUCUUCAGUUUGGGACUGCAGCUUGUUUUGAAAAGUCAGGACUAUGAUGACAAUAAUGCGGCCAUAGUAUCCGUUCUAUGCGGGGUUUGAACAGUGGGUGGUAUGAACUAUAGUUUGAAGUUUAAACAAUGGUUUCCAUAUGCUAAUUGAAGAAACUUAUGGUCAUUUCGAUCGAUCGAAGGAUGUAGCAACGAAAUUGGCUAAAUCAUGUAUCUUAUUCAUGUUUUACUGGGAGUUCUCGAUUCUCAGUGCAUAUCUUGGAAAACUUUCUUGAGGUCUACUGUUUCUCCUGAAAUACACACAAGAAUUCUCUUGGUCA
This is an RNA transcript of Triticum aestivum (bread wheat), 2067 nucleotides long. It is a transcript of the gene named monodehydroascorbate reductase 5, chlorplastic, with no coding region annotated. The transcript is spliced from 19 exons. NCBI's taxonomy places the organism in Eukaryota, Viridiplantae, Streptophyta, Magnoliopsida, Poales, Poaceae. The record is from RefSeq and is a predicted model, not a curated record.